Molecule: ribosomal RNA, 429 nt
Filed under: Acidobacteriota bacterium
Lineage: Bacteria; Pseudomonadati; Acidobacteriota
Description: Acidobacteria bacterium partial 16S ribosomal RNA
Rfam family: Bacterial small subunit ribosomal RNA
Source: RNAcentral
UGGGGAAUUUUGGACAAUGGGGGAAACCCUGAUCCAGCCAUCCCGCGUGUGCGAUGAAGGCCUUCGGGUUGUAAAGCACUUUUGGCAGGAAAGAAACGUCAUGGGUUAAUACCCCGUGAAACUGACGGUACCUGCAGAAUAAGCACCGGCUAACUACGUGCCAGCAGCCGCGGUAAUACGUAGGGUGCAAGCGUUAAUCGGAAUUACUGGGCGUAAAGCGUGCGCAGGCGGUUCGGGAAGAAAGAUGUGAAAUCCCAGAGCUCAACUUUGGAACUGCAUUUUUAACUACCGGGCUAGAGUGUGUCAGAGGGAGGUGGAAUUCCGCGUGUAGCAGUGAAAUGCGUAGAUAUGCGGAGGAACACCGAUGGCGAAGGCAGCCUCCUGGGAUAACACUGACGCUAAUGCACGAAAGCGUGGGGAGCAAACAGG